RNAcentral lists this ribosomal RNA (749 nucleotides) under cyanobacterium enrichment culture clone 2_RT_2.3.2_F01-T7. RNAcentral describes it as "bacterial SSU rRNA". It matches the Rfam family "Bacterial small subunit ribosomal RNA", at positions 8 to 799 of the family's 1533-position model. The record is from RNAcentral. Lineage: Bacteria; Bacillati; Cyanobacteriota.
AGAGUUUGAUCCUGGCUCAGGAUGAACGCUGGCGGUCUGCUUAACACAUGCAAGUCGAACGGGAUCCUUCGGGAUUUAGUGGCGGACGGGUGAGUAACGCGUGAGAAUCUGCCCUUAGGUUGGGGACAACAGUUGGAAACGACUGCUAAUACCCAAUGUGCCGAGAGGUGAAAGGUUAACUGCCUGGGGAUGAGCUCGCGUCUGAUUAGCUAGUUGGAGUGGUAACGGCACACCAAGGCGACGAUCAGUAGCUGGUCUGAGAGGAUGAUCAGCCACACUGGGACUGAGACACGGCCCAGACUCCUACGGGAGGCAGCAGUGGGGAAUUUUCCGCGAUGGGCGAAAGCCUGACGGAGCAAGACCGCGUGAGGGAGGAAGGCCUAUUGGUUGUAAACCUCUUUUGAUAGGGAAGAACACAAUGACGGUACCUAUCGAAUCAGCAUCGGCUAACUCCGUGCCAGCAGCCGCGGUAAUACGGAGGAUGCAAGCGUUAUCCGGAUUUAUUGGGCGUAAAGCGUCCGUAGGUGGCAAACCAAGUCAGUUGUUAAAGCGUAGAGCUUAACUCUAUAAGGGCAAUUGAAACUGGUUAGCUAGAGUGCGAUAGGGGCAAGGGGAAUUCCCAGUGUAGCGGUGAAAUGCGUAGAUAUUGGGAAGAACAUCGGUGGCGAAGGCGCCUUGCUGGGUCUGCACUGACACUGAGGGACGAAAGCUAGGGGAGCGAAAGGGAUUAGAUACCCCUGUAGUCCUAG